Molecule: unclassified non-coding RNA, 545 nt
Filed under: Hevea brasiliensis (rubber tree)
Lineage: Eukaryota; Viridiplantae; Streptophyta; Magnoliopsida; Malpighiales; Euphorbiaceae
Source: RNAcentral
AACUUGAAAGCCAUAUCUGGACCCAGACGGCUGACGGUCACGCCCCGCCUUCAACAGGCAUCGAAUGGCCACUGCUCUUUCCUGACCCAACCCUAACUCAAUCAGGACUUGAUGGGUAGAUCCACCAACACGACUCACAUUUACAGAUACAUUAGUAGUUGCUUGAAAAAUUUGUUGACGCAAAACAGAAUGGAUUUGAUUUAGUCUUUUGAAUCAUUUUCAAAGCUCCAUACAUAAUAAAUAAAAUAAGCCAACGAUUUCUUUGCAAUUUCUUUGUUGAUUUGGCUCCAGACUCAAAACUCAAAGACUAUACAGCGUUGCAUGCAACUCUACUCUAAGUAGUCACUGAUCUAAAACUCAUUAAUUUUUCUUUCAAAUUUUCGGUAUACGCUUAACGAACAAGUUAACUAACCGAUUACAAUAAAUUGGUUCAGAUUUCGUAGUUUUUCCUCCUGUAGUAGCGCGAUGUCAAAUUAAACACGAAAUUGGUAUAAAGAACAAACCAAGAACAGUAAAACCCAAAAAUGUUUUAACAAAUGCCCAAU